AUGAGAGAGUUACCCUUUACUGGGAAGUUGCAAUUGUACACUACUACAAUAAAGACCCAAAUUUCUAACUCAAACAGCUCAGUAAAAAAUCAGAUAACAAACAAUGACUAUUUUUUAUUAGAUAUUUCAUUGAUAAUAAUCUUGCAAAGCUUAUUCAUAUAUCAUAUUAAAAACUUACAAUUUCACAUUGUAGUAGAUAUAAGGAGCGCAAAACAGUGUCAUUAUCCAGUGUCAUGUUACAAUGUAGAAGCAGAAGAGAACACCUAA
Non-coding RNA from Vicia faba (fava bean), 267 nucleotides. Lineage: Eukaryota; Viridiplantae; Streptophyta; Magnoliopsida; Fabales; Fabaceae. The record is from the annotation of a GenBank genome assembly.